Fundulus heteroclitus (mummichog) is the source of this 1428-nucleotide long non-coding RNA. RefSeq lists it as uncharacterized. The transcript has 5 exons. The record is from RefSeq and is a predicted model, not a curated record. Lineage: Eukaryota; Metazoa; Chordata; Actinopteri; Cyprinodontiformes; Fundulidae.
AGUUUGAGUCUAACCAUGAGCCUGCACUUGUGCAACUUUCUGCUGAGCAAUGACUGCUCUCAAUAUGUUUUAUGGCACAAUUUGUUUCUUUCUUAGCAGUGCUCCCAUUAGACUUUCCUUUGGUGGUUGUUGUUGUUGAUGAGCCACUACUUGUACAGAGCUAUGCAGAGCACCGUGUUCCAGAAUGGACAUUUUCCGCUCCGUUAUUAUCUGGGAAUGUGUAUUUAUUUCUCAUCUCCGGAGUCUUCUCAUCUUAUGUCUGCUGCAGAAUCUUCUCCUAUCUCUGCUGCAGACUUUUCUCCUAUCUCUGCUGCAGACUUUUCUCCUCAUCUCUGCUGCAGACUUUUCUCCUCAUCUCUGGUGCAGACUUUUCUCCUAUCUCUGCUGCAGACUUUUCUCCUCAUCUCUGCUGCAGACUUCUCUCCUAUCUCCUGCAAACUUUUCCCCUUCAUCUCUGCUGCAGACUUUUCUCUAUCUCUGCUGCAGACUUUUCUCCUAUCUCUGCUGCAGACUUUUUCCUCAUCUCUGCUGCAGACUUUUCUCCUCCUAUCUGCUUUCUCUACUUUCCGCCCUGUGCAUGCUUCAGCCUCUUCUCCCCAUCUCUGUUUUCCCCCUUGUGCAUACUUCAGCCUCUCCUCCCUGUCUCUUUUUUCCCCAAGUGUUAGUCUCUUUUGCAGGUUGCGCAAGGUGAAACGCAUAGGUUGGUGCUUGGUGAACGUGAAGAUUAAGCUGGUAGACCUGGAAGGCAACCCACCAUUUGCAACAAGGUCAUAUUGGAUGCUGAGGUCUAUCAGGAGGAGUUCUGUCUCAACAUUUAAAGCUUUUGUGUAGAAUUUGCACUGGACUGAGUUUGCCGUGGACUAAAGGAGAGACCAGAUUGCCCUGUGACUGGCUGUAGUCUUCAGUUGGGCUUGCCAACCCACGCUGUAGACAAGAAGAUUGACCAUCCCAUUGAAUCCUGUGUGGUUUAGCCCAAAGUUGCUGAAAGAAGUGGACCUGAUCGUUCCUGCCUCUGGCUGUGUCACUCCGCUACCUACAUCUUCUCCAAGGGGGAAGAAGUAAACAAGGCCUGGUGUCUGCCAACCACCUUCAGAGGACUGAACACUCAUUACAUCCAACUAAAUCGUUUUUGUCCAAGCAGAGGAACAAGAAAAGAAGAAAUUUGGGAGGAACACGCUAGAGCACACACACCAAGAUCUACAGUUCUUGCAAUCUUUUGGCUUUGUUAUAUAGAGAGCCAGGAUCUGAUGAGUAUCACAGAUCCAUAAAUUAUUCGGUAAGGAUAAUUUUUAGAUUCAAUACGGGGUUUCAUCUCGCUCAGAUUGGCCCAGAGCGGGAUUACCCUUGACUGGGCUGCAUCGGUUUUUUACCAUUUCUUACGAGGUGGCGUUUUUCUGGUGGAGGCCCAGCCCGCCCUGUGAUGCCCCC